This 469-nucleotide ribosomal RNA is filed under the name Lodderomyces parapsilosis. Its description in RNAcentral is "eukaryotic LSU rRNA". The stretch from base 131 to 284 matches the Rfam family "5.8S ribosomal RNA". Lineage: Eukaryota; Fungi; Ascomycota; Pichiomycetes; Serinales; Debaryomycetaceae. The record is from RNAcentral.
UACUGCAUUUUUUCUUACACAUGUGUUUUUCUUUUUGAAAACUUUGCUUGGUAGGCCUUCUAUAUGGGGCCUGCCAGAGAUUAAACUCAACCAAAUUUUAUUUAAUGUCAACCGAUUAUUUAAUAGUCAAAACUUUCAACAACGGAUCUCUUGGUUCUCGCAUCGAUGAAGAACGCAGCGAAAUGCGAUAAGUAAUAUGAAUUGCAGAUAUUCGUGAAUCAUCGAAUCUUUGAACGCACAUUGCGCCCUUUGGUAUUCCAAAGGGCAUGCCUGUUUGAGCGUCAUUUCUCCCUCAAACCCUCGGGUUUGGUGUUGAGCGAUACGCUGGGUUUGCUUGAAAGAAAGGCGGAGUAUAAACUAAUGGAUAGGUUUUUUCCACUCAUUGGUACAAACUCCAAAACUUCUUCCAAAUUCGACCUCAAAUCAGGUAGGACUACCCGCUGAACUUAAGCAUAUCAAUAAGCGGGAG